RNAcentral lists this non-coding RNA (180 nucleotides) under Tiarina fusus. The record is from RNAcentral. Lineage: Eukaryota; Ciliophora; Prostomatea; Prorodontida; Colepidae.
UGGACCGGUACCGUGCAUAUACUUUGGUCCUUUUUAUUUGUUAUGCAUUUGCGUGGUAUUUUAAUCUUGUGUGGUCCUCUGUUCUUGCUCCAAAUAAUUAUGUUUGGCUUGUUAUAACAGCAGGUCUUUAUGGUUCAGCAUUAUUGCCAGUACUUCCUAUCGGAGUCGCUCUUGCAGCAG